GAGAGUAAACAGUGCGUGAAACCGCUCAGAGGUAAACGGGUGGAGUUGAACUGCGAUCCUUGGGAAUUCAGCUGAUGAGCAUGAUUUGUGCUUGGGCAUAUUGACCGCCUUUCAGUGUCUGCUUAACUGCGGGUGCCUGCCUCUGGUGGGUAUGUGUGGUGCGCUUAUCAUGUGCCGCACGCAUUGGAGGGUGUAUGAGUCUGCUUGUCGGUGCACUUUCUCAGGGUGUUCACCACGACCGGCACUGCUGUCUGUCUGCUUUGGUCAAACUGAUCAGGUCUGAUUAACGUUGGGCUUGGUUGGGUUGGCAGGUGACUCACUGGUCCAUUCUGUGGGCUAUGAGUGUUACUAGCCGGCUUUAGUGGAUCUGUACGGUGUGUCGGAGACGGCGGCUUUGCAUAUGCGCUCUGUCCUUCAGGCGUGGUUGAGUCUGGUCGACUUGUUGCUAGUUUCGGCUGGUCAGUUGAUGGCUUGAUCAUGUUCAGUUGGCAGUGGUGUGUGUGUCUUAGUUUGGGCCAAUAGUCUGUGGUGUUGUGGUAGACUAUCCACCUG
Molecule: ribosomal RNA, 552 nt
Filed under: Trichobilharzia sp. EAN35
Lineage: Eukaryota; Metazoa; Platyhelminthes; Trematoda; Strigeidida; Schistosomatidae
Description: partial 28S ribosomal RNA
Source: RNAcentral